GCCUCCAUACUUUCAUACUACAGUAUGUCCUCUUAUCCUCCAAUUUAACCCUCACAACUCUCUUUCAAAGCGCGCCGGAGAAACAGGGUUCACGGGAUCUCUCCCAGACCGACUGGGGAACAAAGUGGUCGGGGCCAGGCAAGGAUGAAGGCGGCAUCGAUCUGUAACAAUCUUCCCGUCUGUCUCAAGUCAGAUGUCCCCCAGCGACAAUAAAACCCAAUCAAUCUGGCCAAGGGACAAUUUUACUUCAUUCAACAUCAAAUUAGAGGUUUCCUGUAAGCACACGAUAGCCAAUGAGAUGUGAUCUACUGGAGGCCUGCCUUCACUGUGAAUAAUGGGUGGCAGGAAAUUAGAGGCCUUCUUCCGCUUGCAACCUUAUCUACUGGUUAUCCUCUUCUUCAUCAGCACAAGAAGAUUACACAGGGGGCAAAGAGCAAAGAGAAAGAAAAAGGAACAGAAUUCAGAUUUGAAGAUAUUUAGAUGAUGAUUUCUUUAUUUUGCUCUUUCUGAGUAAUGGGAUUCAUUUGUUGCAUUCUACUGAAUUAAACUCCGCCUUGGGCGCAUGUAUGCUUA
Long non-coding RNA from Esox lucius (northern pike), 573 nucleotides. RefSeq lists it as uncharacterized. The record is from RefSeq and is a predicted model, not a curated record. Lineage: Eukaryota; Metazoa; Chordata; Actinopteri; Esociformes; Esocidae. The transcript has 3 exons.